RNAcentral lists this ribosomal RNA (245 nucleotides) under uncultured Moraxella sp. RNAcentral describes it as "partial 16S ribosomal RNA". It matches the Rfam family "Bacterial small subunit ribosomal RNA", at positions 524 to 768 of the family's 1533-position model. Lineage: Bacteria; Pseudomonadati; Pseudomonadota; Gammaproteobacteria; Moraxellales; Moraxellaceae. The record is from RNAcentral.
UACAGAGGCCUCAAGCGUUGUUCGGAAUUACUGGGCGUAAAGGGAAUGUAGGUGGUGACGUAAGUCAGAUGUGAAAGCCCUGGGCUUAACCUGGGAAAUGCAUUUGAUACUGCGUCGCUUGAGUGCGUGAGAGGAAAGCGGAAUUCCAGGUGUAGGGGUGAAAUCCGUAGAUAUCUGGAGGAAUACCGACGGCGAAGGCAGCUUUCUGGCACGUAACUGACACUGAGAUUCGAAAGCAUGGGUAG